Molecule: unclassified non-coding RNA, 642 nt
Filed under: Hevea brasiliensis (rubber tree)
Lineage: Eukaryota; Viridiplantae; Streptophyta; Magnoliopsida; Malpighiales; Euphorbiaceae
Source: RNAcentral
AUUUCAUUAAAAUGGUGUUCCCAAAGAUCAAAGAUUCUACUCAGGGAGGAAUUAUGCUAUUUAUUAGUUCUUACUUCGAAUAUGUGAGACUUCGCAACUAUUUGAAGUCACAGAUUGCAUCUUUCUGCGUACUAGCAGACUACACUGAACCGAGUGACGUAUCUCGUGCUCGAGUUUGGUUUUUUGAAGGGAGAAAGAAGAUCAUGCUUUAUACCGAGAGAGUUCAUUUCUUCCACAGAUAUAAGAUUCGGGGCAUUCAAAACUUGAUUGUCUAUUCUCUCCCAGAGAGGAAGGAGUUCUAUCCUGAGGUGGUUAACAUGCUUGAAGGGGCCAAUAACAUGACAUGCACUGUACUUUUUUCUCAAUUUGAUCAAAUACGGCUGGAAAGAAUCGUUGGAACUGCUUCUGCAAGAAGGAUGAUCAAAUCGGAAAAGAAUGUCUUUUUAUUCUGUUAGAAGACUUGUUCGUUCUCUAUAAAGUUUCACUACUGCAACAUGGAAAGUCUGGAAGCUCGACGGGCUAACCAAAACCAUUUGAUUGCUAACAACUCAUCUGGCAGAAGAAUUGAUAUAAUUAGCUUAGAAUGACAAAAUUAUGAUGGUAGCAUUCUAAGAGGGAUUUUCCCAAAAAAAAAAAAAAGUG